GGGGGUGCACUGGUUUCGACGGGGGUCACGUAUGUUGGGGCAGCCAUUCGUAGGAAGUCUACACUACGUAAAAAGAGGACAUUUAAAGUAAACGCAGAAGACAAUUUUGCACUAGCAGCUUAAUGCUGCUUGUUUCCUACAGCUGACCCGCAGGCUGUAACGAAACACCGACACAGCGGGGAACGACUUGUGCUAAGCUUUGCCCACAAGCCGUAACUAUGAAGCUACUGAAACUGUAAGCCUGUUGCUGGGCGUAUGGUAGAGGGAAUGUCAAAACGGUAACUAUAAUGGUAGAGACCACGCCUUAUGGGCUUUCGGACAGGGGUUCGAUUCCCCUCACCUCCAUUU
Molecule: transfer-messenger RNA, 348 nt
Filed under: Epulopiscium sp. Nele67-Bin004
Lineage: Bacteria; Bacillati; Bacillota; Clostridia; Lachnospirales; Lachnospiraceae
Also listed under: 1 other name
Rfam family: transfer-messenger RNA
About the family: Bacterial tmRNA, also known as 10Sa RNA or SsrA, is named for its dual tRNA and mRNA-like properties. Its role is to liberate the mRNA from a stalled ribosome. To accomplish this part of the tmRNA is used as a reading frame that ends in a translation stop signal.
Source: Rfam by way of RNAcentral